UGAAAGCAACUGAUGAAAAAAAAGAGUGAUAAUUUGAUUAUAUUUCAAUUAGCACCAUCCACUCUGAUGUUAUAUAUGAUAAAUGAAGACAUUUCUAUUUAAGGCAAAAUCCCCAAUUAUUUCCAAGGAAAAUUAAAUAUUCUUUUUGCAAUAGGCUUUGGUUUUUUUAUUUUUUAUCGUUGUUGUGUUCAGAUUCAUCGUGAAAUCUACAAUAUGCUUUCAACAUUUAUAAUAUUCACACGUAGUACAAAGUAACAUAUGGUAUUAGACAUAAUUACUACUUAGUCAAAAGAAAUGGUGAUAUAAAAUUAACCUUAAAGUUCCCAGAUGAUUAAAAAAAUGGAAUAUAACAUAUAUGAUUACUUAUCUUCUAAAGAGUAAAGAUUAAAAAUAGAUGUUCACAAUAUUGUAUGACUAUGAGAAGAUUUGCGUUAUCCGAAUAAAAUAAGAUUCAUGCAAAAAUAGGUCAAUAAAACAUAAAGAAACUCAAGAGAAGAUUUGGUACUGCUGCUUUUUCUUUCUUCUUUUUGUUUCCCAAAUCACCCGCCUUGCCAUGCCCUUGAAUCUGAGGCUAAAUAAUGAAGAUUUACGAGGCAGUCAAAGGUAUGCAGCAAUUGAUUUUUCUUCCAAGAUUCUUCAUUGCUUUGUUUUUGCCCAUUCCUCUUCCUUCUUUUUCUUACAUGAGAUUUGUAUCCGUUUUUAAGACAUGGUUUUGUUCUUUGUUUUCAAAAUGUGACAAGGCUUUCUCACAUGUCAUUAUCUUCGGCAGAUUCUCUCACCACAGGAUCAAAACUUCAUUUUACCUCAGUGUUUGUACCAAAUAUUAUAUAUAUAACCAUUAGAUGUAGACCUCUCGCAUACGUUUAUCAUCCCUUGGAAAAAGGAAUUUAAUUACACUAUUCGUCAAAAAAAGAAAAAGGAAUUUACACUAAUUUGUUUUUCUUGUUUAUAUAUAUAUAUAUAUAUAUAUUAUUUUUUUUGUAUUUUGGGGAUGAGAUAAGAGAACCAAAUGGAAUAUUCAUUGGAUGGUGAUGCUUUCAUCGCUUCAUCUAUUAUAUAGAUGAGUUUAGUUAAAUUAUCUAUUACAAAAAUUUCAAAUUUAAACUUGUCUAACAACCAUUAAAGAGGUAAUGAGCAUCAUCAUUCACCACCACUUAAGAAUGGUAAGCAAAAAUAUUUCCAAGAUUUGCUAGUAAUUUAACAAGUAAAUAAUCCAUUCAGGAGAAAUUCUUAUAUACAUUUACCCUAGUGCAUUAAGAUUUUGAAUCAGGGUCUCUCCCUCUCACCCACAAAGUGUAGGAUCCAUCAUAAAGAUUAAUCAUUUUCUUACGUUUGAAGUGCACAAAACUCUUUCACUAAACAUGCCGUAUAAACUCAUAUUCAUAAUCCUCCUAACGUGUGCACCUAAAUCUCACAAAUAUUGAAAUGCUUAUGAAUAUUAACAUUGUUGUGCAGUGAUGAUGUUAGAUAUUUUACUCCUUGAUCAUGAUCAUCAGACCGUUUUACAAACUAAUUAUUACUGACAAUAGUUAAAAUAUCACUCACGAUAGUUGUUGAUAAAAGAAAAAAACAAGAUGUAUAAAAGUAGAUAUAUAUCUUUGUAUAUAUAAUAUAUGUACAUAGUGUAUGUAUAUAUUAAUAUACACAUGAACUUACUAUAUGUACUUGAGGGGAUAUUCCAUACUAUAUGUACAUAGUGUUUGUAUUAAUCAUACACAUGAGAAUUAAUGUACAUGGAGGAAUAUCAGAACUUUCUGUUGGUUUUUUCUUUACUUGUUACUUUUACUCUAACUAUGCAUAUUGGAAACAUGAAAUUCUUUUGACAAUUAUUAUUACUUCACGUCCAUGAAUAAUUGGAUAAUUAUUCUGGAUUAUCUUUGCGAUAUUGGUCUUCUUUCUCUUUCUCUCCCCAGUUUUCCACAGUUUCCCUUUGGGUUUACGAGAAAAAAUUCGGUUGUUCCUUUUGUACAUUCCCAGAUCCGAUUGUUCAUUAUUUCUGCAACUGUAUCCUGAUUGGUAAGUAUGUAUACCUUCCACGAGAUUUAUGUCAAGAACUAGGGCAUGGUCCAGAAUACGUACUUUAUAUAUAGGACCACUGUCUUUAGGAUUUUGAACAGAAAUAAAUCAUUUGACCUAUUCUAGUAAUCUUUUUGUAGAAACAGCAACCAUUGAAGAGUUUACGUACUCCCUAUAAUUAGUGUGGCACUAAUCAUUCCUCAUAAUUCAUAAUGUGCAUGCCAAUAUUAUAGAGUGGAGGACUUGGCUGUACUUUAAUCACAUUUUAAAGGUCUGCAGUAAUUGACUUUGGUUAACGGAUAUACUAUGAUUUAAGACGUCCUUUUGAUUAUUAACCAUACCCUAUCUAAAUCAGAUGACAUACUUCAUCUCUACAUCUUACGUGCUACAAAAGUGUGUGUGUAUAUAUAUAUAUGUACAUUUGUUAGGGUGGCAUUUAAAUUUUUUACUAAAUUAGAAAGAAAAGAAAACGAAAACUCAGACAACAAAAUAUCAAUAACUCAUUGAAGAAAAAAAAAUAUAUCUUCUAUCCGCUAUUUCACUUGUAAUACUCUAAUUUAUUCAAAGUUAUAAAAUUCUUUUAGAGCACUUCUCCCUAGGGCCGGCCCAUGCCCAGUGCUAGCAGGGCAAUCGUCUUGGACCCAAAAUAAUUUGGGGCACCAAAAUUAUUAGGGUAGUAUAUUUAUAUAUGUUUUCAUAAAAAUUUGGUUCAAUGACAAAGAAAUUUAACUAGAGUUGAUGGUUUUGUUGUUUGAAAUUAAUGAUGAGGUCUUGAGUUCAAAACACCAUGUGUGCUUAUUUACUUUUCAAUUUUUACAAAUUUAUUUUCAUAAGAGUAUAUAUAUAUAUAUAAUUGGGCUAAAUGAUUAAGAAGUUUUGUUUGUACCAUAUUUAGGGCCUCGGUAUUUAGAUUUCGUAUAAAUACUCGGGGGACUCAAAUGUAAUUAUGUAAUAAAUGAAGGGACAAAUAUGUAAUAAGUGAGGAGCCCUUAUUCUAUAAAAAGACUCCUCGCUCUCCUCAUUAGGAGAGGUCAAGGUUUAGGCCAUGGGAAGAGAGAAAACAUCUCAGAGAGGGCAAACACAGAAAAUAGGCUAGAGAGC
RNAcentral lists this long non-coding RNA (3117 nucleotides) under Malus domestica (apple). RNAcentral describes it as "long non-coding RNA (MDOM_LNC012045)". Lineage: Eukaryota; Viridiplantae; Streptophyta; Magnoliopsida; Rosales; Rosaceae. The record is from RNAcentral.